RNAcentral lists this long non-coding RNA (2434 nucleotides) under Marmota monax (woodchuck). Lineage: Eukaryota; Metazoa; Chordata; Mammalia; Rodentia; Sciuridae. The record is from RNAcentral.
GCCCAAAGCUGUCAUCAUAUGGUAUGGGGUAAAACUGAAAACAUUUCCCCUAAAUCAGGAAUAAGACAAAAAUGUCUGCUCUCAAUAUUCAAUAUAGAUUUUGCAAUUUCAUCUAGAGGGAUUGGGCAAGAGAAAGAAAAAAUGGGGUUAUAAAUAGAAAAGGAAUUAUCCCUAUUCAUGAUAUGAUCCUAUACUUGAAAGAUCCUAAAAGCUCCACUAGAAAAUUUCUACAUCUGAUAAAUUCACCAAAUUAAAAUACAAAGAAAAAAAAAUCAUUGGUUUUCCUAUACUCAAAAUGAACCUGCUUAUAAAGAAAUCAGAAAAAUAAGUCCAUUCACAAAACUUUAAAAAUGAAAAACAGAAACCUAGGAUAAAUCUAACCAAAGAAUUGAAAGACCUCUACAAGGAAAAUUACAGAACACUGAAAAAAAGAAAUAGAAGACAUUAGAAGAUAGACCUCCCAUAUUCACUGGCAGGCAGAAUUAAUAUUGUUGAAAUGACCAUAUUAACAAAAGUAUUCUACCGAUUCAGUAUAAUCCCAGUCAAAAUACCAAUGACAUUCUCCAUUGUAUUAGAAAAAAAGCAGUCCUAAAAUCAUAUGGAAGAACAAAAACCCAGAAUAGCCAAAGCAAUUCUGAUCAAAAAGAGAAAUGCUGGGGGCAUCACAACACAUGAUUUCAAAUUGUACCUGAGAGCUACAGUAAAAAAUAAACAGCUGGUAAUGGUAUAAAAACAGAGAUAUAGAUACAGAUAGUCAACUGAUCCUUGGCAAAGGCACCAAAAACAUUAGUUGGGAGAAAAGAGCCUACAGCCUUUUUAACAAAUGGCACUAGGAAAACUGGAUGUCCAUAUGAAGAAGAAUGAAACUAGAUCCCAUCUCUCACCCUACAAAGUCAAUUUAAAACAGAUGAAAGACUUGGGAAUUAGACCAGAAACUCAAUAAGUGCUAGAAGAAAACAGGUGAAACACUAACAGUUAUAUAGCCGAACAAUAACUUCUUCAGUAAGAUUACUAAAGCUCAGAAAAUAAACCCAAGAAUCAUUAAAUGGAAUGGCUUCAAAUUAAAAACCUUCCGCACAGCAAAGAAACAAUUUUGUCACAUCAUACCAAAUACUGUACAAUUAUUAAAAAAAAAAAAACUGAUUAACAAAUUUACUACCUAUAAAAAAUUUACUACCUAUAAAAACUUUGAAAUAAAUACUACGUUUCUAGAGUUUUGGGAAAAGACAUUCAACUUUUGGAGGGGAGUGGGUACUGGGAAUUGAACCCAGGGGCACUUAACCAAUAAGCCACAUUCCAUCUUUUUAUAUUUUAUUUAGAGACAAGAUCUCAUUAAUUUGCUUUGUGCCUCACUAAAUUGCUGAGGCUGAACUUGCGAUUCUCCUUUCUCAGCCUCCCCAGACACUGGGAUUAUAGGUGUGUGCCACCCUGCCCAGCUGAAAUAGUGAAGAUAACAAACUUCAAGUUUACUCUUUCUAAAUGUUCAAUUGAACAAAACAUUACAUGCAUAACUGUAGAAAUGUACCCAUGAAAGCAUUUUCUAGAACUAGCUGUCAUUUUAUUUCAAGGAAUACACUGUAUUUCAAAUUAUCAAUGUUCAAAAAGUACCUGUCCUAUAAGCAGGACACUGGAACAACGUAUACUUUAUGUUAAUGUGUACUGUACUGCACGUGUUGCUGCCUAACACUAACAUGUUGUUCUUUGUGGUUACUUGUUGACAAGUUGUGACCUGUGUUCAUACUCUGAAAAAUAUAUUAGAGAAAACAUUUAUUCUGAAUGCUUGAGAAAAACAAAAUUUCUGGUAAAUUUUUGGCAUCUUUAAGAAUAUUUGACAGUGGGCGAAAUGAUCAUCAUGUUAUGGACAAAAUUCACUGAAACAAUUUAUAAGAGAUAAGCCCACGAGAUUCAGUUAUAAUUUUGGGGCCCGGUGCAAAAUAUGGGGAUAUUGUUAUAACUUUGACUUGUAUUGGGGAAAAAAUGCUCAAGAAGAAUCCAACAAUGAUCUUUUGCUUGAGAGUAAGAUCAUUUUACACGUUUGAAGGUAGAAAACCUAUAAUCACAAUUUCAUUUGACAAUCUAAUCACUAGUUAUGACUUGGUGUACCUUAAAAACAUUGGAUGCCAAGCUACAGACACCAUGAGGGGAAAAAAAAAAAAACAGAUUAAACAAGUGUCCUCUGAAACUGAAUCAUUGAUAAAAAUGCAAGCCAAGAGAGCCAUAUGAUUAUAAGUUCAAUACAAAUAAUUCUCAUUGUAAAAUGGUUAGAUUACAAAUAUGUCACUGUUGAAGCAAACUGUAAUACAGUGGAAUCACUUGGCAAAGUUCAACAAUGGGGGGGGGAAAGUGAAUCAAUAUAAGUCAACCAAAGGUAGUGGGUUCCUAUAACUAUUUCAAUGGCGAUGUGGACAAACACAACUGGUUUCCAAAUAGUCCA